Molecule: ribosomal RNA, 502 nt
Filed under: uncultured Glomeromycotina
Lineage: Eukaryota; Fungi; Glomeromycota
Description: partial small subunit ribosomal RNA
Rfam family: Eukaryotic small subunit ribosomal RNA
Source: RNAcentral
CCAAUAGCGUAUAUUAAAGUUGUUGCAGUUAAAAAGCUCGUAGUUGAACUUCGGGGUCUACCCAUUGGUCAGGCUUAAUUGUCUGCACUGGUGAGAUGGAUCUCUACCUUCUGAGGAACUUUCAUGCCAUUUAUUUGGUGUGAUGGGAAAUCAGGACUGUUACUUUGAAAAAAUUAGAGUGUUUAAAGCAGACUAUCGUCUGAAUACAUUAGCAUGGAAUAAUGAAAUAGGACGGACUGAUUCUAUUUCGUUGGUUUCUAGGAUCACCGUAAUGAUUAAUAGGAAUAGUUGGGGGCAUUAGUAUUCAAUUGUCAGAGGUGAAAUUCUUGGAUUUAUUGAAGACUAACUACUGCGAAAGCAUUUGCCAAGGAUGUUUUCAUUAAUCAAGAACGAAAGUUAGGGGAUCGAAGACGAUCAGAUACCGUCGUAGUCUUAACCAUAAACUAUGCCGACUAGGGAUCGGACGAAGUUAAUUUUAUAAUGACGCGUUCGGCACCUUACG